AAGACCUUGCGCUUUUGGAGCGGCCGAUGCCUGAUUAGCUAGUUGGUGGGGUAAUGGCCUACCAAAGCUUCGAUCAGUAGCUGGUCUGAGAGGACGGCCAGCCACACUGGGACUGAGACACGGCCCAGACUCCUACGGGAGGCAGCAGUGGGGAAUUUUGGACAAUGGGCGCAAGCCUGAUCCAGCCAUGCCGCGUGAGUGAAGAAGGCCUUCGGGUUGUAAAGCUCUUUCAGCCGGGAAGAAAAGGUUGCGAUUAAUAAUCGCAAUUUAUGACGGUACCGGAAGAAGAAGCACCGGCUAACUACGUGCCAGCAGCCGCGGUAAUACGUAGGGUGCGAGCGUUAAUCGGAAUUACUGGGCGUAAAGGGUGCGCAGGCGGUUUUGUAAGUCAGAUGUGAAAGCCCCGGGCUCAACCUGGGAACU
This 423-nucleotide ribosomal RNA is filed under the name uncultured bacterium. Its description in RNAcentral is "bacterial SSU rRNA". It matches the Rfam family "Bacterial small subunit ribosomal RNA", at positions 207 to 622 of the family's 1533-position model. The record is from RNAcentral.